Molecule: long non-coding RNA, 359 nt
Organism: Seriola aureovittata
Lineage: Eukaryota; Metazoa; Chordata; Actinopteri; Carangiformes; Carangidae
Exons: 2
Source: RefSeq, a predicted model, not a curated record
GUCGGUGUAACUGUAACAGACCCAGAGUGGAAGAGUCAAAGAGCAUUUCCUUCCCAGCAAUAACAUUCAAAAGGAAAUGAGGGAAACCCAGUGAUGGCUCAACAAAUAAUAUGUACGACAAAAGGAUCCAUACUACGUUUUGAAAUUAAAAAAAGGACUCCUAAAGGGCUUCUGAAAUGUGUGUUUAUGUAUGGAAAAUUGGAACAUUUAUUUCCUCAGUUUUUUGUUCUGUAGACAGACCUCAAACAUCACAAGAGAAUAAAAGUAAAGUAGAUUCAUAUUCACUUUAUUCAGAUAUAACUGCGUUUAAACUUCUUGGUAGAGGAAUAUUGAAUUUGUGGAAUUGACCUUGAAAAAUA